AACUCUUAGCGGUGGAUCACCGGCUCGUGCGUCGAUGAAGAACGCAGCUAGCUGCGAGAACUAAUGUGAAUUGCAGGACACAUUGAUCAUUGACACUCGAACGCACUGCGGCCCCAGGUUCCUCCUGGGGCUACGCUGUCGAGAGGUCG
This is a ribosomal RNA of 149 nucleotides. It matches the Rfam family "5.8S ribosomal RNA". From Rfam's summary of the family: 5.8S ribosomal RNA (5.8S rRNA) is a component of the large subunit of the eukaryotic ribosome. The record is from Ensembl.